CAAAUCCAUCCUAAAUCCACCCCAAACCCCCGCGCACCAUGCUGCUGUUCCUGCAGGACCAGGUCAGACCCCAAAUCCAUCCUAAACCACCCCAAAUCCAUCCUAAACCCAUCCCAAUCCCCUCUGCACCGUGCUGCUGUUCCUGCAGGACCAGGUCAGACCCUAAAUCCAUCCCAAAUCCAUCCUAAAUCCAUCCCAACCCCCGCUGCAUGGUGCUGCUGUUCCUGCAGGACCAGGUCAGACCCCAAAUCCACCCCAAAUCCAUCCUAAAUCCAUCCCAAACCCCCUCUGCACCGUGCUGCUGUUCCUGCAGGACCAGGUCAGAUCCCAAAUCCAUCCUAAAUCCAUCCCAAACCACCCUGAGACCCCAAAUCCAUCCCAAUCCACCCCAAAUCACCCCAAACCACCCCAAAUCCAUCCUAAAUCUAUACCAAACCACCUUGAGACCCCAAAUCCACCCCAAAUCCAUCCUAAAUCUAUACCAAACCACCUUGAGACCCCAAAUCCACCCCAAACCAUCCCAAAUCCAUCCUAAAUCUAUCCCAAACCCCCGCGCACCGUGCUGCUGUUCCUGCAGGACCAGCUCAGCCUGGAGGAUUUCACGGCUUUUGGGGGCGUUUUUGGGAACGAACCCGACGGGGCCUUCACCCGACUGCAGGGUGCCCUGGGCUCAGCAGGGUCAGCCCUGGCCCUGCCCUCGGUGGCCGGAGCGGCCGCGGCCGCGCUGCCCCUCACCCUCCAGAGGGCUCUGGGUGCCCCUCCCCCGCUGCGGCUGCCCGGGGGGGGCCUGGGGGGGCUCCGGCUCAACCGCUCCGACCCCGCCCUGCUGCUUGUGGGGCUGCCCCAUAGCCGGAGGUGAGUGAGAAACCCCACAGAAACCCCAUAGAAACCAUGUAGAGAUCCCAUAGAAACCCAUAGAAACCCUGUGGAAAACCCCAUAAAAACCUGCGUAAUGAUACUCACAGAAACCCCAUAGAAACCCUAUAGAGAUCCCAUAGAAACCCUGUAGAAAACCCCAUAAAAACCUGCGUAAUGAUACCUACAGAAACGCAAUAGAAACCCCAUAGAAACCCUGUAGAGAUCCCGUAGAAACCCUUUAGA
This is an RNA transcript of Malurus melanocephalus (red-backed fairy wren), 1101 nucleotides long. It is a transcript of the gene named V-type proton ATPase subunit S1-like, with no coding region annotated. The transcript is spliced from 3 exons. NCBI's taxonomy places the organism in Eukaryota, Metazoa, Chordata, Aves, Passeriformes, Maluridae. The record is from RefSeq and is a predicted model, not a curated record.